UGUACCCUCCCUCUCUCCCACGCUCACUCGCACUUUGGCUGUGAGCUGCGGAAGCCAGAUAAGCCAAUAUCCCCCAUUCUCGUGGUUUCCUUGCGUCCCUCCAUGCUUCCCUGGAGGGAGGGACUAAACACAGGGAAACGACGCAAGUGAGGGAAGCAAGGAUUUAAUUUAACCGACCUGAGACGGGGCCCAGUUUGGCUCAUUUGACCAAGCAAAUGCGAGAGACGGCUGAGUUGACCGCCGGUGGGAAAAAUAACACUGAGGCGAAGUUGCAGAACACUGAAAAAUAAGUAUUGGAGCUGCGUAGCCUGUCUGGAGGCAAAUCUCAGGUCGGUGGCCUUUUCUACAGCUCUCGUGGAAUCUGGCUCGGAAACCAUUCUAAUAGGCUACACCACUUAAGUAUAAGAGGGUCAUCUCCAUAAGAGGGUCAUCUCCAUAAGAGGGUCAUCUCCAACACUGGAAAUAACUACAAUCCUACAACAGGCAUAUUUUCAGCAACCGUCAAAGGAACCUACUUCUUUCGUUUCACGAUGUACAACAAUGUUUCUCCUACUCCAAACUCUGUUAGCCUAAUGAAGAAUGAUGUGCGGCUUACGUCAGUAUGGCACACCUCAGGGUCUGAUGCGAAUGACUGGUAGCAACGCUGUGGUUAUCCCCCUCGAGGUGGGAGAUCAUGUGUAUGUGGAUCUCCAGGCAAACAGGAUGGUCUAUGUCUGAUGAUGCCAUGGGCUACAACACCUUCUCUGGUUUUCUGCUCUUCACUGAAUAAUCUGCAUGUGUGUUUAUACUUUUAAAAGGAAUAUAAUCUCACUUUAUUAAUGCUGGUAGCUGGUAGCAAAAGCCUAACUACUGAUUUGCUGUGCUGAGAAAAUCAAUAAACAUAGUUGUAAUAAUGAUAAAUAUCUGGCUUUCUCUGCGCCAUCUUUAUUUUCAUUUGUGUGUUUAGACUUUUUCAUGUGUACAGCUCCAGCACAUGUGAAAUUCAAUUGUGAAGUUUUGUAUUGAAUGUAUAACUGCAGUAGAACAAUUAAAUUAAAAAAGAUGCUAAUGAGAUUCAUAGGAGUUUAUUGUUUUGAAUAGAUAACAUGACUUAGUUUUGUAUAUCACCUGGUAUAAUUCAAGUGUGUUCAAAUGAGCUCUAGAAAUAAAAUGUACUUUCUUAUUUUCUUA
Molecule: long non-coding RNA, 1170 nt
Organism: Gymnodraco acuticeps
Lineage: Eukaryota; Metazoa; Chordata; Actinopteri; Perciformes; Bathydraconidae
Exons: 3
Source: RefSeq, a predicted model, not a curated record